This 301-nucleotide ribosomal RNA is filed under the name uncultured bacterium. RNAcentral describes it as "partial 16S ribosomal RNA". It matches the Rfam family "Bacterial small subunit ribosomal RNA", at positions 509 to 809 of the family's 1533-position model. The record is from RNAcentral.
CAGUCGCCACGGUAAUACGGAGGGUGCGAGCGUUAAUCGGAAUUACUGGGCGUAAAGCGCGCGUAGACGGUUUUGUAAGUCAGAUGUGAAAUCCCUGGGCUCAACCUGGGAACUGCAUUUGAUACUGCAUGGCUAGAGUAUCGAAGAGGGAAGUGGAAUUUCCGGUGUAGCGGUGAAAUGCGUAGAUAUCGGAAGGAACACCAGUGGCGAAAGCGACUUCCUGGUCGAAUACUGACGUUCAUGUGCGAAAGCGUGGGGAGCAAACAGGAUUAGAUACCCCAGUAGUCCCUGUCUCUUAUCC